Molecule: long non-coding RNA, 3050 nt
Organism: Calidris pugnax (ruff)
Lineage: Eukaryota; Metazoa; Chordata; Aves; Charadriiformes; Scolopacidae
Exons: 5
Source: RefSeq, a predicted model, not a curated record
GAACACUUGAUCAUUUCUAUUAUCCUCUCCAGACUGUCUCCUCACACCCAGGCAAGCCUAGGAGGAAGACUCUGGACAUUUGCAUGUAAUACACCAUUAUGAUAUAUUUGGUAGUCCAAUAUAACAUAUUCAGAAAGAUAAUUUUAUGCUGAAGUAGAGGAGAAGGAGUCCAGAGCUUAAGGUUAUCAUCAGUGCUGCAUGCCCGUGCCCCAGGCCUCCUCCCCUUCCCACAGUAUGGGAAUCUUUAAACUGCAUUGACCUUUUGUGCUUUCUUCUGCAGCUGUUCAAGAGCCACUGAGACUGCAAAUCCUGGAAAAUACUUCCCUCCUCGUAGCCAGGAAAAUGGGGACUUCAUUUAGUUUUGACACAGGUACCAAGAUAUUCCUGUGAUGUCCAUGUGCCACCAACAACCAGCUUGAGAAUCCCGGAUCUCUCAGAGGAGCCAGAAGCGUUGCUAAAACGAAGAGCCUCCCAGUUGAACACUUGCUCUCCAACCCUCCUGUGGAUGGCAGGGAGAUGCCGAGACCAUGAGCUAUUUCGCUGGGGUAAGAAAUUAGAUCUUUAAAAAUUAUCCAGUGUGACUAACCACCCACUCAGUCAUCUUGCUUUUGCUGAUGGGUUAGCUUUUGAAAUGUUAAAUAAAUUAUUUAAAGCGAUCUUGUCUAAAUUCCUUAAUAUCUCUGGCUGUUCCUGUCCUCUGUUAAGAAACAGUGGAAGAAUUGUUUCAAAUAUAUUUUGUAUUAUUUUUAUUUUAAUUUCUGGAUUAGCUAUGCCUUUACUUCAAAGUUUCUGGAAGCUGAAUGUGCGCCACUGGGAUACUCAGGUAAGUAUCUUGGUGAAGGCUGAAAUUCAAAAGCCAAAACAUUGUGCCUGCUUGCAGGACCCAACUGCAAGGGAUGAGCCCAACGCAGGCAGCUUCUGCUCUGGGCAGCCUCACCGGUUCCCAGCUCCCAUCUGAACCACCGUGGAGCUUCUGUUACACAACUGAACAUGUGGAGCAGCGCCACUGACGAACAAAUGAAUUCAUUAGUGCCCUUGAUGAGGAUUAUAUGAAGUACUGCCUGGAGUGCCCGGAAAAUUCUUUCCAGACAGUAUCUCUUUUCAAUGAAGAAAACGUGUGCAAGCAACUCGCCUGAAAAUCCCCGUUUGGGUGGGCGUUGGAGUGAGGAUUCAGGAGGAAGCGCUUGCUGCCGCGCAGGGGGGAGCUCAACAGCCCACUCUCCCUGAGAGCGAGUGGAAAGUGAGACACCAAAUGUCAGCUGAAAACGUCUGGCACCACUCUGUUGCAGCCCCAGCCUAAAUUCGUCCUGCAGCCACUCCAAAGUCCACCUGUACUCCGUGGCGAGGCACGGCUGCCUUACCCUAGAGACCGACAGACUCCCAGCAGCCAAGGCUCCUCCGAAAAUAGCACAGCAGCACAAGCACAAGCCAGCACCCAUUGCUGACACGUAUUAGCCAGGCUCAAAGAGAAAAGAAAGAAACACCACGUGGGCUGACAUCUUGCUCUGAACCAACAUCUUCUCCGUGUUCAGGUGCUCGCACCGGGCACAAUUCCUACCUGGGGCGCCGGUUUCGUUCAGGGAAGUCAAGCCCAGAGCAGGCUGUUGUCUCACCUCGUCUGACCUCCUCUGCUCCCCCACCACCCCAUUUCAUCCACCGACCCCUGCCCAGGCCGCGGGUGAAAGCAGCCACCACUGCUGUUUGAUGUGGGUGCCAUACACUCGGUUUGAGGACAUCAAGAGGUGACACACUGACCUCCAGCAGCUUCGUGGAGCAGCUCACCGCUGCCUGUGAUCGGCACCUGCCAGCUUCCCACUCUGUAGACUGGAAAGGUCUUCAGCUCCCCAUACCGUCCCUGUGUCAGCUGUCACAAGGUCACCUCUCAAUACUUUUGUGGAUAAAGUACACAGAGGGAGCUCUUUAAGGCCACCGCCACGGGGGCAGGGCUGGAGGCCAGCGAUCACUGCCACGGAUGUGAUUUAAUGAUGUGGGGCCGUAUUGUAGAGUUAUCAAAGCCCCGGGUAAAGGGACCCUUACAGUUUGUGCUUCCUUUUUUUGUUUCAGGAUUGAAUAAAUCUGCGUUAACCCCAUUCCUAGAAUAGAUUAAAUCCCUCUUUGUGCUAACUCAGCUAGUCUUUGGUUUUGGCAGGCCGCUGACGUUCCCUUCACUCAGAUCCCCCUGUCUAAGAGAGAUGCUGCUGUCCCCAUGGGAGCAGCUUCCUCCCCCUUUGGAAACCAGCCAUGGAAAGGAAUAAAGACGUAGUUUUUCUCCUGACGUAUGAUCUCCUUAGGCAGCUCAUGACAGAGUCCUUAGAGAACGAGUUAACCUUAUUAUUAUUUUAAUUCUGUGUUGAAACAAAGUUGGUGUCAGUUUAGAGAUUUGUGAGGUUCCCUCGUGCUGGAAGGCAGAGGGGUGGAUGCCGUACCCAUCACACACAGCGGGGCACGAGCAGAGCGGGGGUCACCCCCCUGUGACAAUUCCUCCCGAUGGCUCUGCUGCUGGCUCACUUUCCUUCCCAUCCGCCUCUCCUCAAGCUCCUCAUUAGUGCCAGAGCUGGAGGUGGUCAAAAACCGAUGGUGGGAACCAGACCAAGGCUCCUAUCUAUGUCUUCUCCCCUGAAAAAGCAUGCCUGAGAGUUGCAAAUUACUCUUUAAUACCAGAUUAAACAGAGCUAGAAAUACCAUUCCAGCAUGUGGAUGUUAGCAGCAGCAGAUGCUUCUUUAUAUGACAAAAUUGUGUUUCCUCCAGAGCAGGCAUCCAUAGACCUACAGAAUGGGGCAGAGGGUGGCUAGAGGGAUGCUGACAUAGGAAGCAUCUCUACAUCCAGCACUGUCUUCUGGGGCACAGGAGCCAGAUCAUCAGCCCCGUGCAGCACGUACAAACACAGCUUCUCCUUAGCAGCAAAACCAAACGGCAGCUAUUCAUAACUGUUCCUGCUCUAACGCAAAGCGACGCCGCAAUAUUGGUUAACUUAGUUAAGUGGUGAUUAAGGAACAAAACUCCCUGAACUUGACCAAGUGGUGUCCUGCUGUUUCUGCUUUGUGUGUUA